Molecule: RNase MRP RNA, 334 nt
Filed under: Saitoella complicata NRRL Y-17804
Lineage: Eukaryota; Fungi; Ascomycota; Saitoellomycetes; Saitoellales; Saitoellaceae
Description: RNase MRP
Rfam family: RNase MRP
About the family: RNase MRP is an enzymatically active ribonucleoprotein with two distinct roles in eukaryotes. In mitochondria it plays a direct role in the initiation of mitochondrial DNA replication.
Source: Rfam by way of RNAcentral
CCCGUGCUCGAAGAAUCGCAAACGAAGCUUACACACGGAUCCGUAUGGAUCAUUCCAAGCUUUGGGGAAAGUCCCCGGACACACACGGCGUAAACGCACCGGCAUAGAAGCAUCUCCGGUUUAGCUUGCGUUCAGCAAAUCCGCGUCGUCCUCGGUCAUGAGCUUCCUCGUCCCCUCGGGGAGAAGGCGAAGAUAUGAGUCUUUGGAGUUUGUGGUCAUCAUGGGGGCGGUGUCGGUGAACGUGGGUACAUCUCGUCACAGACGAUAGUUAUGCGAUUGCUCUUCUGUCGCAAGACGGGAGGGUAACUCGAUGGGGCUUAUUCUCGGCGCACGG